This 497-nucleotide long non-coding RNA is filed under the name Physcomitrium patens. RNAcentral's name for it is "long non-coding RNA (PPAT_LNC000692)". The record is from RNAcentral. Lineage: Eukaryota; Viridiplantae; Streptophyta; Bryopsida; Funariales; Funariaceae.
GUGUUAUGUGGCAUUUGGCUUGAAAAUGCACCUGGCACCUGAUUGUGGAAGACAAAAGGAAAAUUGCAAUAAUAAGUCCUAACAACUCUAAUAGAUUUUUAAAUAAAUUACAAUUAAAGAUUAACAAAUAUGAUCAAACAUUGAUAAAAUUCAAUCAAAAUUUCAAAAGAAUUAUGUAAGAAACACAAAGUAUUUAUAGAUAUCUUUUAAAGAAUCAUAAUGAAAUAACAUAGAAACUAAAAAAAAUACUAAAAUAAAAACCUUAAUUAAAUCCUAGUAAAAACCUAAUCAAAUUCUAAUCAAAUCCUAAAUAAAUCUUAGUCAAAUCCUAAAAAAUCCUAAAAAAUCCUAAAUAAAUCUUAACAAAAUCUUAAACAAAUUCUAAACAAAUCCUAACUAAACCCUAAAUAAAUCCUAAUCAAAUCUUAAAUAAAUCCUAAUCAAAUCUUAAAAAAAUCCUAAUCAAAUUAUAAACAAAUCCUAAUCAAAUCCUAAAU